AGCAUACAAGGCAUACGGCUCAGUAACGCGUAGUCAACCUAACCUAUGGACGGGAAUAACCUCGGGAAACUGAGAAUAAUGCCCGAUAGAACAUUAUGCCUGGAAUGGUUUAUGUUCCAAAUGAUUUAUCGCCGUAGGAUGGGACUGCGGCCUAUCAGUUUGUUGGUGAGGUAAUGGCCCACCAAGACUAUUACAGGUACGGGCUCUGAGAGGAGUAGCCCGGAGAUGGGUACUGAGACACGGACCCAGGCCCUAUGGGGCGCAGCAGGCGAGAAAACUUUGCAAUGUGCGAAAGCACGACAAGGUUAAUCCGAGUGGUUUCUGCUAAAGAAACCUUUUGUCAGUCCUAGAAACACUGAUGAAUAAGGGGUGGGCAAGUUCUGGUGUCAGCCGCCGCGGUAAAACCAGCACCUCAAGUGGUCAGGAUGAUUAUUGGGCCUAAAGCAUCCGUAGCCGGCUCUGUAAGUUUUCGGUUAAAUCUGUACGCUCAACGUACAGGCUGCCGGGAAUACUGCAGAGCUAGGGAGUGGGAGAGGUAGACGGUACUCGGUAGGAAGGGGUAAAAUCCUUUGAUCUGUUGAUGACCACCUGUGGCGAAGGCGGUCUACCAGAACACGUCCGACGGUGAGGGAUAAAAGCUGGGGGAGCAAACCGGAUUAGAUACCCGGGUAGUCCCAGCUGUAAACUAUGCAAACUCAGUGAUGCAUUGGCUUGUGGCCAAUGCAGUGCUGCAGGGAAGCCGUUAAGUUUGCCGCCUGGGAAGUACGUACGCAAGUAUGAAACUUAAAGGAAUUGGCGGGGGAGCACCACAAGGGGUGAAGCCUGCGGUUCAAUUGGAGUCAACGCCGGA
RNAcentral lists this ribosomal RNA (850 nucleotides) under uncultured crenarchaeote. Its description in RNAcentral is "bacterial SSU rRNA". It matches the Rfam family "Archaeal small subunit ribosomal RNA", at positions 71 to 922 of the family's 1478-position model. Lineage: Archaea; Thermoproteati; Thermoproteota. The record is from RNAcentral.